UCGGUUCCGGUUCACGCUCGAAGACCUUUUGGGUCAGGGCUCGGGCGACCCGGCGACC
This 58-nucleotide non-coding RNA is filed under the name unclassified sequences. Its description in RNAcentral is "L31-Actinobacteria ribosomal protein leader". It matches the Rfam family "L31-Actinobacteria ribosomal protein leader". The record is from RNAcentral.